RNAcentral lists this ribosomal RNA (468 nucleotides) under uncultured bacterium. Its description in RNAcentral is "partial 16S ribosomal RNA". It matches the Rfam family "Bacterial small subunit ribosomal RNA", at positions 28 to 507 of the family's 1533-position model. The record is from RNAcentral.
GACGAACGCUGGCGGCGUGCUUAACACAUGCAAGUCGAACGGAAAGGCCCUGCUUUUGUGGGGUGCUCGAGUGGCGAACGGGUGAGUAACACGUGAGUAACCUGCCCUUGACUUUGGGAUAACUUCAGGUAACUGGGGCUAAUACCGGAUAGGAGCUCCUGCCGCAUGGUGGGGGUUGGAAAGUUUCGGCGGUUGGGGAUGGACUCGCGGCUUAUCAGCUUGUUGGUGGGGUAGUGGCUUACCAAGGCUUUGACGGGUAGCCGGCCUGAGAGGGUGACCAGCCACAGUGGGACUAAGAUACGGCCCAGACUGCUACGGGAGGCAGCAGUGGGGAAUAUUACACAAUGGGCCGGAGCCUGAUGCGGCAACGCCGCGUGCGGGAUGAUGGCCAUCGGGUUGUAAACCGCUUUCGCCUGUGACGAAGCGUGAGUGACGGUAAUGGGUAAAGAAGCACCGGCUAACUACGUG